This is a non-coding RNA of Prunus avium (sweet cherry), 2201 nucleotides long. The record is from RefSeq and is a predicted model, not a curated record. Lineage: Eukaryota; Viridiplantae; Streptophyta; Magnoliopsida; Rosales; Rosaceae.
CAGCAGCAGCCACUCUAAUUUUCGCGGCUUUUUUCAAAUCUCUUCACUUAGCUACAAAUUGAAGUUGGAGAAAUUGUCCACUUCGCCGCUGCUCGACGUUCAUCGAAUUUGAACUGUUUUCAAUUGAAUUGCAGGAUAUGUCAUUCUUGAAGCAUAUUUGGGGUGAUGUUGUUGAGACAAUUUUUGGUUUCAAUCUCAUGCAUUUAGUGGUUUAUCUCUACCAGCCUCGUUGUCGUCAAAGUCCAAGUUGUAAUAUGACCAUGAGUUUUCCUCUACUUCAUGACUCAGUGACUCACCAAGGCCCAAAAAAGGCUUUAUUAUGAACUCCUAAAAUAGAAUGUCAUGCACGCAAACUUUGUUCCAAACAACAUCAAAGAUAGCAGCCCUGGCAAGGUCCGGCCAGAUAACAUGUGCUCGUAAGCUGUUCGACGAAAUGCCCCACAGAGACUCGGUCGCUUGGAAUGCAAUGCUUACCAGCUAUACCCACCUUGGUUCUCACCAAGAAGCCCGUGAGUGCAUAUAAUACGUGAACAAUACAAAUCCAACGGAAAAUUACAAAACCAAAUAUAUUAGUUGAUAUAACUAUGUCCUCUUUUUGCCAAUUGAUGUUUUGGGUUACCAGUCUUACUUGCCAGUUAAUAAUUCGCUUAUUGAUAUGUAUGGGAAGUGUUUGGAUCCCUCUAGUGCUAGGAGAGUGUUUGAAGAGAUGAAACUAAGGAAUGAAGUAACUUGGUGUUCUUUUUUAUUUGCGCAAACAAACUCUAGUCAGUUUGAUGUUGCACGUCAUGUGUUUUCUAUGAUGCCGAGAAGGGUGGAGAUAGCUUGGAAUAUUAUGAUUGUGGGUUAUGCACGGUAUGGGGAAGUGGACUCUUGUUUGGAUUUGUUGAAAGAGAUGAAAGAGAGUUUGUGUCGGCCGGAUCAGUGGACUUUCAGUGCUCUGAUGAAUGCUUGCGCUGAAGCAUUAGAAUUUUGGCAUGGUUGCAUGGUGCAUGCUCUUACUAUUAAAAGUGGUUGGAGUUCUGCUGCGGAGGUAAAGAACUCAGUUUUAAGUUUCUAUGCUGAACUAGGCUUCCAUGGCAGUGCAGUUAAGAUUUUUGAGUCCACUGGAAUCCUAACACAAGUAUCCUGGAAUGCCAUGAUUGAUACCUACAUGAAACAGGGGAAUACCCACGAAGCUCUUCUUGUAUUUCAGCGAGCCCCUGAAAAGAAUAUUGUCUCAUGGACAUCUAUGAUCUCAGGGUAUGCAGGAAAUGGACAUGGGGACGAAGCUGCCAAAUUCUUUGUGGAUAUGGUAAGAAGUGGUGUCCAACCAGAUGAUUUCACAUUCGGAGCUGUCCUUUAUGCAUGUUCAAGCUUGGCGGUACUUGGACAUGGUAAAAUGGUCCAUGGUAUCAUACUUCAUUAUGGCUUCCAUGCUUAUGUCUUUAUUGGGAAUGGCUUAGUUAACAUGUAUGCUAAAUGUGGGGAUUUACAAGGGUCAGUCCGUGCGUUCAGUGAUAUUUUACAGAAGGAUCUGGUAUCUUGGAAUGCUAUGUUGUUUGCAUUUGGGUUGCAUGGGCAAGCUAUCCAAGCUCUACAGGUUUUUAAGGAGAUGGUAGAAAAUGGAGUAAAACCAGAUAAUGUGACCUUCAUUGGCCUGUUGAUGACUUGCAGCCAUAAUGGGCUUAUAGAGGAAAGUCGCAUGCUUUUUGAAACCAUGGGGUCAGUUUAUGGGAUUUCUCCUGAAAUGGAGCAUGUGGCAUGCAUGGUGGAUAUGCUCGGCAGAAGUGGUUACUUAGCAGAAGCGAAAGAGCUGGUUGAUGAGUAUUCAGAAGUAGGUAGUGCUGAGACCAGCUCAUGUGAAGCUCUACUUGGUGCUUGCUCCGCACAGGGGGACGUAGGAUUUGGAAGAAAAUUGGGCGAAAGUCUGAAGAUAUUAGAACCACAUAAAGAGACGAGCUAUGUGUUGCUGUCUAAUUUGUAUUGUGCAAGUGGGCAAUGGAAGGAAGCAGAAAUGGUUAGGGAGAUGAUGGUUGAUCAAGGGGUGAAGAAAAUGCCUGGUUGUAGUUGGAUUGAAGUGAGAAACAAGGUAACAGCUUUUGUAGCUGGGAAGCAUUCUAAUCCAUGCAUGAAUGAGUUAUGUAAUAUAUUACAUUUCAUUAAUUUUGAAAUGAGGAAUCCAUGCUUUGGUGACAUUGAUAAUUGAAAGAAAUUUACAUAUC